Molecule: ribosomal RNA, 1043 nt
Filed under: Conchodytes meleagrinae
Lineage: Eukaryota; Metazoa; Arthropoda; Malacostraca; Decapoda; Palaemonidae
Description: eukaryotic LSU rRNA
Rfam family: Eukaryotic large subunit ribosomal RNA
Source: RNAcentral
UUCGACAGUACCGUGAGGGAAAGCUGAAAAGGACUCUGAAGAGAGAGUUCAAUAGGACGUGAAACCAUUAGAAGCUCAAACGGGUGGAACCGUGAUGAUCGAAAGAGGGGAUUCAGCCGGCCGGUAUCUUGGGCGGCGGGUGCGGCACAAAGCUGAGCGGACCCAGCGUUAAACGUGAUUUGCUGUGGCUUCGCACCUGCUGACCCGAGGCCAGUUGGCUUAGUUCCCCUUUAGUAGUAACUCGUCGCGACCCGCUGGCUGGGUCCCGAAGGCUGCACCGGACUGGUAGCCUGCACUCUUGUGCAGGCGAUGACUGGUUGCAGUUCUGGCUGGGCUUGGCCGGCGGUCACUGCAGGGAGGCCGCGAUAAAAAGUGGCCUCUCGUGACGUGUAAAUCGUUGGUAAUCCACCCGACCCGUCUUGAAACACGGACCAAGGAGUCUAACAUGUGCGCGAGUCUAAGGAUUCUUGAACAAAAUCCGGAGGCGAAAUGAAAGUGAGCCCCUGGUGGGCAGGCCGAUCCCUCUUCGGCUGGGUGCCGGCGGCCUGGUGGCGCACCAGUCCUCUGGUAGUGCCGCUUGUGCCGUUGGUGUCCCAGUGGGCGGCCGGAGAUAGGGCGCAGGCCGAGGACUUGCCAUAGUGCGGCGCGGGCAACGGGGCCGAUUCGUCGGCUCUUAUCCCGUCGUCCGUCGGCAAGUACCUGAGAGCGCACCCGUUGGGACCCGAAAGAUGGUGAACUAUGCCUGGCGAGGACGAAGCCAGAGGAAACUCUGGUGGAGGUCCGAAGCAGUUCUGACGUGCAAAUCGAUUGUCAGAGCUGGGUAUAGGGGCGAAAGACUAAUCGAACCAUCUAGUAGCUGGUUCCCUCCGAAGUUUCCCUCAGGAUAGCUGGCAUUCAGAGGAUGAGUUUCAUCCGGUAAAGCGAAUGAUUAGAGGCCUUGGUGGUGCAAUGCCGUCAACCUAUUCUCAAACUUUAAAUGGGUGAGAUGUAGAGCUUGCUUGGGUUCUACUAUGAAGCUCUANGAUGCAAAGAAUCAGAAUGUC